RNAcentral lists this ribosomal RNA (253 nucleotides) under uncultured bacterium. RNAcentral describes it as "partial 16S ribosomal RNA". It matches the Rfam family "Bacterial small subunit ribosomal RNA", at positions 524 to 776 of the family's 1533-position model. The record is from RNAcentral.
UACAGAGGGUGCAAGCGUUAAUCGGAUUUACUGGGCGUAAAGCGUGCGUAGGCGGUUCAGUAUGUCGGUCGUGAAAUCCCCGGGCUCAACCUGGGAACUGCGGCCGAAACUGCUGGGCUAGAGUGUGGUAGAGGGCGGUGGAAUUCCGGGUGUAGCGGUGAAAUGCGUAGAUAUCCGGAGGAACAUCAAUGGCGAAGGCAGCCGCCUGGGCCACAACUGACGCUGAGGUACGAAAGCGUGGGGAGCAAACAGG